UAGACGCUGCUGACUUCAAGUUCCUGAAAAACAACUUGGGCAAACAUCUUAUUGUUUAGGCCACUUGGAGGACAUGCAAGUUUUUUGUAGCAACAGUUAAAGCAAGCUUGAUGCUGACGUCAGUACAGUUCAUUAUUUAUUAAGCAAGUUAUAGCUUAAUGGAUCUGAUGACUGCUCUCAGUUUCAAAAGGAGUGGACCCUCUUCUCACUGAUGCCAUGGACCAGCCCUAAGACAGACGGAGAUGGAGGUGAGAGUUCCAGACUCAGGACCUGUGUCCAGGAGACCCCUGUGUCACCCCCAGAGAAGCUGGUGUUUGAUCUCGGUCUUGAAGAAUGAGUAGACUUCCAGGUGGGGAAAGGACAUUCUGACAUGGAGAAGGAUGCGUGAGGUCAGGGAGAAAGGAGUGACCAGGGCACAUGCAAGUUGCUCUGCGGCUUGCCAGUAAGGUGAGGGUGAGGCCAGAAAGGUAAGGAAACAGGCAGUGGUGCCUCGUGACCGGCUAGUGGAUGGUCAAGGGUUUCAUGGUUCACAGCGCAGCGGCUAUUGGUGCAUAUUCUAUAGCAUGACCUCAGCGCAGGAGGAGAGGAACCACCGGUUAACUAUGAAGGGACAGCUCAAGGGAUGCUGGGAUGUCCACAUCAGCAUCAGCAUCAGCCUGACCUGGCAGUUUGACGUGUGUCGAUGGAUGUCCGCUAUGUUGUUAUGCGUAUAAUAUUGGAACUCCAGGGGAUCCGACGAGCAGGAUGUGAAGCUGGGCAUCGUGCUGUGCUGAGGACUUUGGACUUAAGCCUGAAGGCUGGAACCCGGGAGGCCGGGCUCCUUGGUGUGGCCGGUGUGAAGUCUGGCCAGAACUUCAGGGCGGUGGACAGGCGUGACGGAGACACCUGGGUCCCUGGAAUGCACGGGGCACAGGAGGCUGGAAGGGAGAGUGGGCAGUGGCUCCGAACAUCUCAGUUCCUGGAAGAUGUUGGGCUGCAGGAGAUGAGGGGUAGAAAAUACUGAACUGGGGAGAAA
Long non-coding RNA from Balaenoptera musculus (blue whale), 1015 nucleotides. RefSeq lists it as uncharacterized. The transcript is spliced from 5 exons. The record is from RefSeq and is a predicted model, not a curated record. NCBI's taxonomy places the organism in Eukaryota, Metazoa, Chordata, Mammalia, Artiodactyla, Balaenopteridae.